This 448-nucleotide ribosomal RNA is filed under the name uncultured bacterium. Its description in RNAcentral is "partial 16S ribosomal RNA". It matches the Rfam family "Bacterial small subunit ribosomal RNA", at positions 29 to 523 of the family's 1533-position model. The record is from RNAcentral.
AGCGAACGCUGGCGGCAGGCUUAACACAUGCAAGUCGAACGCCCCGCAAGGGGAGUGGCAGACGGGUGAGUAACACGUGGGAACGUACCCUUUGGUUCGGAAUAACUUGGGGAAACUCAAGCUAAUACCGGAUAAGCCCUUAUGGGGAAAGGUUUACUGCCGAAGGAUCGGCCCGCGUCUGAUUAGCUAGUUGGUGAGGUAAUGGCUCACCAAGGCGACGAUCAGUAGCUGGUCUGAGAGAAUGAUCAGCCACACUGGGACUGAGACACGGCCCAGACUCCUACGGGAGGCAGCAGUGGGGAAUCUUGCGCAAUGGGCGAAAGCCUGACGCAGCAACGCCGCGUGCGGGAUGACGGCCUUCGUGGUUGUAAACCGCUUUCAGCAGGGACGAAAAUGACGGUACCUGCAGAAGAAGCUCCGGCUAACUACGUGCCAGCCGCCGCUGUAA